AGCCCCCUGGGAGAUACCACGUGGGGGUGCUGGUCCAAAUUCUAACCGCUUCACUAAACUGCAAGACAGGCACAAAUAGAAAGUUGUGACACCUAAAACACAGGAAGUGAACAAACACGUUUAAUGACAAUGUGAAUUACUGUGUAAACAUCUGUGUGAGUGAGUGAGUGAGUGAGUGAGUGAGUGAGAUAGAUGUAAAAAAAAGUGUUUGCCCCCUUGUCACACACGCACACACUGAUUCAGAGUUUUUACAUCUCCCAUUUUCCGGAAGCUCAGUUUUUAAGGACAAAAACGUAUUUUUGCAGGCCAAAAUGCAUUAAAAAAUGUGUUUUUUUUACAAUGUCCAUAUUCGUGUGAACGCAGCCUCACAGCAGUCAAUUAUGCAAAUUCGACCAUGUCGUGACAACAGGCUCAAAGUGAAGCCCAAUUGUACUGAAACUCCUUCAGUUUUGUCUUUGUACACCAGCGAAGCGUAAAAACAGUUCACUGUUUCCACCAUGACGGUGUAAAAAGGUAAAGCAAUUUUCGUGCUUUUAUCUCCGUCAUGCCAGCGUGAUUAAGUCACGUCUUCUACACCACAAAAUUGGCCAAGGAUAAGAACAUUUGAGAGUUAAAUUGAAUGAUUCUCCAGGAAUCGCUUACGUCACCAACGCAGAGGACGAGGAAGAAAGCGGAUGUUUGAAGACGCGGGAAGACUGAAGGGGCUCGAGAAAGCGAAAGAGAAGUAAAACAAAACGUUAAUAAAUAAAUAAAUAACUUACAUACCGCAACAGCAGCUACCUCCUGAUUCGCCGUAACAACGAAAUAAAUCCCAGUGUGCAAGCAACCACCGGCUGCUGCUGUGGCUGGCGGCUGACGGAUAAAUGGACUCUGCGGUGACGUUUUUUUGUUGUGUUUUUUUUGCACCGAAAACGAACUGGAUUUCAUUCCUUGGUAACGAAGUGGUGAGCUGGUAGGGCUGUUGUUUUCCCCUUCACUAUCAAUGGAUUAAGGACCCCUGAACUGAUUAAUGAACUUUUACCACCCAGACUCAAGGACCUCCCAAACCCCAUCAAAGUACUAUUUUGUCUCUCCCCCCCCCCC
Molecule: long non-coding RNA, 1083 nt
Organism: Dunckerocampus dactyliophorus (ringed pipefish)
Lineage: Eukaryota; Metazoa; Chordata; Actinopteri; Syngnathiformes; Syngnathidae
Exons: 2
Source: RefSeq, a predicted model, not a curated record